Molecule: long non-coding RNA, 916 nt
Filed under: Pongo abelii (Sumatran orangutan)
Lineage: Eukaryota; Metazoa; Chordata; Mammalia; Primates; Hominidae
Description: lincRNA
Source: RNAcentral
AGGCCAGGCACUACUCUGUCCCAACAAUAAGCCCUGUACAUUGGGAAAGGUGCCGAAGACAUGAACUUUGGUCUUCUCUGCAAUCCCUCUGGAGCAUUCAGUGACAACGUCGACUUUGAAGUUGCACUGACCUGGCCAGCCCUGCCACUUACCAGGUUGGAUAACACUAACAAAGUUGACCUUAGAAUUGGAGUGCCCGGGUUAGAACCUUGCUGGUACCACCUGCUUACUGCAUGCUUCUGAUGUGAGUUCAGGAGAAGCCACUGGCAAGGACAGCAAAGAACAGGAGAACACUCUAGCUUCCCUGAUAGCAUUCAAGGUGCUGUCCAAAGCUCUUGAGUUUCUGCUUUCAAGUGACCCUCAGAAAUGCCCCCAUUCACUGCAGAGGUUCUGUUUCUCCUUGUUUUGUUCCGACUUUAUGGCAGAACUAGGUUAAUGAGUUAAUUACUAUGAGUUAUCACUUGGAUUUGAAGAACCAUCAUUUCUAGGCUUUGCUGCUCAGAGUGGGUUUGCCCUCAGGGGAAGCUAUCUAACCAGAGCCUAACCCACUAGGGUUUUAUCAGAACCUAACUGGCCUGAGGAAAAGAAAUAUUCAACUCCAGCAAGCUCCAGCCUUCCAAACGGAGGAGGAGAAAACCCAAAUCCAGCCCACUUCAGCUAUCUUGUCCCACAUAAAGGGGGAGUGGAAGAAACGUGAGAAGCAGGCAUGAAGUUCACAGUCCGGAGGUACAGACACAUCAGAGUUCAGUAUCUGAUGAAUUAGAUGCAAAAUCCUCAACAAAGUAUUAGCAAAUUGAAUUCAACAAUGUAUGAAAAUUAUUACAUGCCAUGACUAAUUGGAAUUUAUCUCAGGUAUACAAGCCAUGCUGAACAUCUGAAAAUCAAUUCAUGUGAUCCAUCACAUUAGCAGAUUCAA